ACUCAAAUGAAUUGACGGGGACCCGCACAAGCAGUGGAGUAUGUUGUUUAAUUCGAAGCAACGCGAAAAACCUUACCAGGGCUUGACAUCCCUAGAAGUCCGCCGAGAGGUGGAUGUGCCUUCGGGAACUAGGUGACAGGUGGUGCAUGGUUGUCGUCAGCUCGUGUCGUGAGAUGUUGGGUUAAGUCCCGCAACGAGCGCAACCCUUAUUGCUAGUUGCUAACAUUUAGUUGAGCACUCUAGUGAGACUGCCGUUGACAAAACGGAGGAAGGUGGGGACGACGUCAAAUCAUCAUGCCCCUUAUGUCCUGGGCUACAAACGUACUACAAUGGCCGUUAACAACGGGUUGCCAAGCCGCGAGGCGGAGCUAAUCCCCAAAAACGGUCCCAGUUCGGAUUGCAGGCUGAAACUCGCCUGCAUGAAGUUGGAAUUGCUAGUAAUCGCGAAUCAGCAUGUCGCGGUGAAUACGUUCCCGGGUCUUGUACACACCGCCCGU
RNAcentral lists this ribosomal RNA (497 nucleotides) under uncultured bacterium. RNAcentral's name for it is "bacterial SSU rRNA". It matches the Rfam family "Bacterial small subunit ribosomal RNA", at positions 899 to 1397 of the family's 1533-position model. The record is from RNAcentral.